This 515-nucleotide ribosomal RNA is filed under the name Goryphus sp. 3 BFS-2018. Its description in RNAcentral is "partial 16S large subunit ribosomal RNA". The stretch from base 389 to 515 matches the Rfam family "Archaeal large subunit ribosomal RNA", at positions 2542 to 2668 of the family's 2987-position model. Lineage: Eukaryota; Metazoa; Arthropoda; Insecta; Hymenoptera; Ichneumonidae. The record is from RNAcentral.
AACAUGUCUUUAAGAAUAUAAUUUAAAGUCUAAUUUGCUCCAUGAUUAAUUUUAAAUAGCUGCAGUAUAUUAACUGUACAAAGGUAGCAUAGUCAAUAGUUUUUUAAUUGAAAGCUGGAAUGAAUGAUUUAAUAAGGUGAAUAUUGUCUCAAUUUUAAUAAGAUUAUAAUUUUUUUUUUAGUAAAAAUACUAAAAUGAAUUUAAAAGACGAGAAGACCCUAUAGAUUUUAAUAAUUUUAAUUAAUAAUAUUUAAAUAAAAUAAUAAAUUUUAAUGAUUAAUUAUUUGGUUGGGGAAAUUAUUAAAUUUAAUAAAUUUUAAUUAAUUUAAAACAAUGAUGAUUGAAUUAAUUGAUUUUAAUAAAAAUUUAAAGAAUAAAAUACCUUAGGGAUAACAGCGUAAUUUUUUUGGAGAGAUCUUAUUGAUAAAAAAGUUUGCGACCUCGAUGUUGAAUUAAGAUAAAAUUUUAAUGAAGAAGUUAAAAAAUUUUGGUCUGUUCGACCAUUAAAAUCUUAC